CGGGUGAGUAACGCGUGGGGAAUCUGCCUUUGAGCGGGGGACAACAUUUGGAAACGAAUGCUAAUACCGCAUAAAAACUUUAAAUACAAGUUUUAAGUUUGAAAGAUGCAAUUGCAUCACUCAAAGAUGAUCCCGCGUUGUAUUAGCUAGUUGGUGAGGUAAAGGCUCACCAAGGCGAUGAUACAUAGCCGACCUGAGAGGGUGAUCGGCCACAUUGGGACUGAGACACGGCCUAAACUCCUACGGAAGGCAGCAG
Molecule: ribosomal RNA, 256 nt
Filed under: uncultured bacterium
Lineage: Bacteria
Description: partial 16S ribosomal RNA
Rfam family: Bacterial small subunit ribosomal RNA
Source: RNAcentral